This 443-nucleotide ribosomal RNA is filed under the name uncultured bacterium. RNAcentral describes it as "partial 16S ribosomal RNA". It matches the Rfam family "Bacterial small subunit ribosomal RNA", at positions 338 to 795 of the family's 1533-position model. The record is from RNAcentral.
CCUACGGGUGGCUGCAGUGGGGAAUAUUGGGCAAUGGGCGCAAGCCUGACCCAGCAACGCCGCGUGAAGGAAGAAGGCUUUCGGGUUGUAAACUUCUUUUGUCAGGGACGACGCAUGUGACGGUACCUGCCGAAUAAGCCACGGCUAACUACGUGCCAGCAGCCGCGGUAAUACGUAGGUGGCAAGCGUUAUCCGGAUUUACUGGGUGUAAAGGGCGUGUAGGCGGGACUGCAAGUCAGAUGUGAAAACCACGGGCUCAACCUGUGGCCUGCAUUUGAAACUGUAGUUCUUGAGUACUGGAGAGGCAGACGGAAUGCCUAGUGUAGCGGUGAAAUGCGUAGAUAUUAGGAGGAACACCAGUGGCGAAGGCGGUCUGCUGGACAGCAACUGACGCUGAGGCGCGAAAGCGUGGGGAGCAAACAGGAUUAGAUACCCCUGUAGUC